UACGUAGGGGGCGAGCGUUGUCCGGAUUCAUUGGGCGUAAAGGGUGCGUAGGCGGCGCGGUAAGUCGGGUGUGAAAUCUCGGAGCUUAACUCCGAAACUGCAUUCGAUACUGCCGUGCUUGAGGACUGGAGAGGAGACUGGAAUUUACGGUGUAGCGGUGAAAUGCGUAGAUAUCAUAAGGAAGACCAGUGGCGAAGGCGGGUCUCUGGGCCGACAUUGACGCUGAGGAGCGAAAGCGUGGGGAGCGAACAGG
RNAcentral lists this ribosomal RNA (253 nucleotides) under uncultured bacterium. Its description in RNAcentral is "partial 16S ribosomal RNA". It matches the Rfam family "Bacterial small subunit ribosomal RNA", at positions 524 to 776 of the family's 1533-position model. The record is from RNAcentral.